CCUGAAUCAGUGUGUGUGUUAGUGGAAGCGUCUGGAAAGGCGCGCGAUACAGGGUGACAGCCCCGUACACAAAAAUGCACAUGCUGUGAGCUCGAUGAGUAGGGCGGGACACGUGGUAUCCUGUCUGAAUAUGGGGGGACCAUCCUCCAAGGCUAAAUACUCCUGACUGACCGAUAGUGAACCAGUACCGUGAGGGAAAGGCGAAAAGAACCCCGGCGAGGGGAGUGAAAAAGAACCUGAAACCGUGUACGUACAAGCAGUGGGAGCACGCUUAGGCGUGUGACUGCGUACCUUUUGUAUAAUGGGUCAGCGACUUAUAUUCUGUAGCAAGGUUAACCGAAUAGGGGAGCCGAAGGGAAACCGAGUCUUAACUGGGCGUUAAGUUGCAGGGUAUAGACCCGAAACCCGGUGAUCUAGCCAUGGGCAGGUUGAAGGUUGGGUAACACUAACUGGAGGACCGAACCGACUAAUGUUGAAAAAUUAGCGGAUGACUUGUGGCUGGGGGUGAAAGGCCAAUCAAACCGGGAGAUAGCUGGUUCUCCCCGAAAGCUAUUUAGGUAGCGCCUCGUGAAUUCAUCUCCGGGGGUAGAGCACUGUUUCGGCAAGGGGGUCAUCCCGACUUACCAACCCGAUGCAAACUGCGAAUACCGGAGAAUGUUAUCACGGGAGACACACGGCGGGUGCUAACGUCCGUCGUGAAGAGGGAAACAACCCAGACCGCCAGCUAAGGUCCCAAAGUCAUGGUUAAGUGGGAAACGAUGUGGGAAGGCCCAGACAGCCAGGAUGUUGGCUUAGAAGCAGCCAUCAUUUAAAGAAAGCGUAAUAGCUCACUGGUCGAGUCGGCCUGCGCGGAAGAUGUAACGGGGCUAAACCAUGCAC
This 879-nucleotide ribosomal RNA is filed under the name Escherichia coli. RNAcentral's name for it is "partial 23S ribosomal RNA". It matches the Rfam family "Bacterial large subunit ribosomal RNA", at positions 311 to 1194 of the family's 2925-position model. Lineage: Bacteria; Pseudomonadati; Pseudomonadota; Gammaproteobacteria; Enterobacterales; Enterobacteriaceae. The record is from RNAcentral.